Long non-coding RNA from Contarinia nasturtii (swede midge), 832 nucleotides. RefSeq lists it as uncharacterized. The record is from RefSeq and is a predicted model, not a curated record. The transcript has 4 exons. Lineage: Eukaryota; Metazoa; Arthropoda; Insecta; Diptera; Cecidomyiidae.
CAUGAUUGGUUAAAAAAAAACAAUAGAAAUUUCUAUUUAACGUAUGACAAUAGGAUAAGACUAUUUAUGUGCCAUCUAAAUACUGAUAUGUCUGAAUUUAUCUGAAGGCGUAAAAUGGCAAAAAAAUAUAUUUACCUUAUUUGGUAUAUAAAUCGCAAAAUCAGCAAGUGCAAAUACAAUUUCGAUUUCAUCCAAUCAAAAAGCACUCGAAAUGAGUAUAAAUUUGCUGCAAAUGCAAAAAUAAAGUCAUAGCUGCUGAUAAAGGUUUCGAACCAGAAAUGGUCAAAUAUCUCAUUGAACAUGGAGGCAAUGUGAACGCUGAAGAUUAACUUUGAAGAACGCUAAUGCACGGUGCUGCUUUGAAGGGUCGCACAGGACUCCUGUGACAGGAGUCACAAAAUUCUGUUCGAAAAUGGGACAAAUAUAAAUGCUGAGGAUCAAUAUAAUCACACGCCACUAGAGGUGCCCACUGAACUGAACCGUUCAUGUUCGUUCGGUUCAUUCGAAUUUGAACCGAAUAUGAACGGCAUGUUUACAUAUUUUGAACAAUUUGAACUAAACGCGAAUGAACAUGAACAGAUUUUUUUUAUUUCGAACGAACCUGAACAAACGAGAACUGUUCAGUUGAAUUCUCGAGACGCCACUUUACUAUGUCAUUAAAAAUGGUCACAAAGAGGCAUUAAAAUAUCUUACUGAACAUGGAGCAGAAAUUUCUGCAUUAUAACAUCAUUUCUGUGUGUAGCAACAUUGUACAAUUGUACAUGGACAUGUAAAACCUAGUGUAAACCUUUUAAAGUUCUGUAAAUUCAUGUUUAUCGUAGUUUUUUUUUAA